UACGUAGGGUGCAAGCGUUAAUCGGAAUUACUGGGCGUAAAGCGUGCGCAGGCGGUUAUGUAAGACAGUUGUGAAAUCCCCGGGCUCAACCUGGGAAUGGCAUUCGGGACUGCAAGGCUGGAGUGCGGCAGAGGAGACUGGAAUUCCUGGUGUAGCAGUGAAAUGCGUAGAUAUCAGGAGGAAUACCGAUGGCGAAGGCAGGUCUCUGGGCUGACACUGACGCUCAUGCACGAAAGCGUGGGGAGCAAACAGG
RNAcentral lists this ribosomal RNA (253 nucleotides) under uncultured bacterium. Its description in RNAcentral is "partial 16S ribosomal RNA". It matches the Rfam family "Bacterial small subunit ribosomal RNA", at positions 524 to 776 of the family's 1533-position model. The record is from RNAcentral.